UUCCUUUGAAGAACUCAACGCUCCAGGCAUCAUCUUGAAAGCGGAGAAAGCAGACCAUGUGGUUGAUCUUCAGUUAUCCUGAGUCAGCAGGUGGGCCAUUUACAUCACCACGACAGUGUCCACAGGAGUUCCAGUUCCCUAAAUUCUCACCAAGACUGGUCAUCCUCUGUUGGAAAAAAACAUUCUAACAGGCAUCAGGGAUUUCUUGACAAUGGCAAUGAUGUGACGCCAUCCAGCAUCUAUUUGUGAGAACUCUAUUUGACAAAUCAUCACUGUGGGUGUGAACAUAAUGGAGACUUUCAUAGGAU
RNAcentral lists this long non-coding RNA (308 nucleotides) under Homo sapiens (human). Its description in RNAcentral is "HSALNT0304189". The record is from RNAcentral. Lineage: Eukaryota; Metazoa; Chordata; Mammalia; Primates; Hominidae.